RNAcentral lists this ribosomal RNA (292 nucleotides) under uncultured bacterium. Its description in RNAcentral is "partial 16S ribosomal RNA". It matches the Rfam family "Bacterial small subunit ribosomal RNA", at positions 505 to 796 of the family's 1533-position model. The record is from RNAcentral.
GUGCCAGCAGCCGCGGUAAUACGGAGGAUGCAAGCGUUAUCCGGAUUUAUUGGGUUUAAAGGGUGCGUAGGCGGAUUAGUAAGUCAGUGGUGAAAUCCUGCAGCUUAACUGUAGAAUUGCCAUUGAUACUGUUAAUCUUGAGUGCGAUUGAAGUAGGCGGAAUGUGUAAUGUAGCGGUGAAAUGCUUAGAUAUUACACAGAACACCGAUUGCGUAGGCAGCUUACUAAGUCGUAACUGACGCUGAGGCACGAAAGCGUGGGGAUCGAACAGGAUUAGAAACCCCUGUAGUCC